This 468-nucleotide ribosomal RNA is filed under the name uncultured bacterium. Its description in RNAcentral is "bacterial SSU rRNA". It matches the Rfam family "Bacterial small subunit ribosomal RNA", at positions 329 to 794 of the family's 1533-position model. The record is from RNAcentral.
GGCCAGACUCCUACGGGAGGCAGCAGUGAGGAAUAUUGGUCAAUGGGCGCAAGCCUGAACCAGCCAAGUCGCGUGAGGGAUGACGGUCCUAUGGAUUGUAAACCUCUUUUGUCGGGGAGCAAGGCCCGCCACGUGUGGCGGGAAGGAGAGUACCCGAAGAAAAAGCAUCGGCUAACUCCGUGCCAGCAGCCGCGGGAAUACGGAGGAUGCGGGCGUUAUCCGGAUUUAUUGGGUUUAAAGGGUGCGUAGGCGGAAGGUUAAGUCAGCGGUCAAAUGUCGGUGCUCAACACCGGCCUGCCGUUGAAACUGGCAGUCUCGAGUUGGAGAGAAGUAUGCGGAAUGCGCGGUGUAGCGGUGAAAUGCAUGGAUAUCGCGCAGAACUCCGAUUGCGAAGGCAGCAUGCCGGCUCCACACUGACGCUGAGGCACGAAAGCGUGGGUAUCGAACAGGAUUAGAUACCCUAGUAAU